GGGAAUAUGGCUUAGUGGUUACAGUGCUUGCCUAGCAUGCAUGAAGCCCUGGGUUCGAUUCCUCAGUACCA
This 71-nucleotide transfer RNA is filed under the name Dipodomys ordii (Ord's kangaroo rat). It matches the Rfam family "tRNA". From Rfam's summary of the family: Transfer RNA (tRNA) molecules are approximately 80 nucleotides in length. Lineage: Eukaryota; Metazoa; Chordata; Mammalia; Rodentia; Heteromyidae. The record is from Rfam by way of RNAcentral.